GGAGGCGUCCAGGACCUGACGGUUGCUAAGGUGACAGAGAUACAACAUGGCGGCCGGGCCCUAACGUUUUCUGUCGGGGGGCCAGCGCGGAGGUCCUAGCUCGGGACCCUGCCUCAGAGGAGUGGAAGCCAGGGGGCCGUCCUUUCUGCCCCUUUCUUCUCCGUCCAGUGUCGGCAAGGGCUUGUCGUCGGCUUCCGAAUCCAGGAUGAAGAACUAUAAAGCAAUUGUCAAAAUAGGAGAGGGAACGUUUUCUGAAGUUAUGAAGAUGCAGAGCCUGAGGGACGGAAGCUACUACGCGUGCAAGCAGAUGAAGCAGCACUUUGAAAGGAAGAAAUGACCUUACAGUUUCUAGAAGAAAGUUCGAGAAGAAAAACGACUGCUUUGGGGGUCAUUUCUAGGACAGAGAUUGUGAAUAAUUUGUGGGAUGCCCCAGUGGCGCUGAUUCUUGAUCCACAAGUUUAAUGUUGUUCUUUUGUUUUUUUUUUUAACCAUGAAAAUAAUAUCUCUAGCUUUUGGAGUCCUGGAGUAUCUAUCAGCAUUAUUAAACAAUUUAAUCUUAUUCACUUGAAGAAUAAUUUUAGGUUCUUUA
Molecule: non-coding RNA, 589 nt
Organism: Leptonychotes weddellii (Weddell seal)
Lineage: Eukaryota; Metazoa; Chordata; Mammalia; Carnivora; Phocidae
Source: RefSeq, a predicted model, not a curated record